CCUACGGGAGACAGCAGUGGGGGAUAUUGCACAAUGGGGGGAACCCUGAUGCAGCGACGCCGCGUGGGUGAAGGAGUGCUUCGGCAUGUAAAGCCCUAUCGGCAGGGAAGAAGCAAGACGGUACCUGACGAAGAAGCCCCGGCUAACUACGUGCCCGCAGCCGCGGUAAUACGGAGGGGGCGAGCGUUAUCCGGAUCCACUGGGUGUAAAGGGAGCGUAGACGGCCAUGCAAGCCAGGGGUGAAAGCCCGGGGCCCAACCCCGGGACUGCCCUUGGAACUGCAUGGCUGGAGGGCGGGAGGGGCAGGCGGAAUUCCUGUUGUAGCGGUGACAUGCGUAGAUAUCAGGAGGAACACCGGCGGCGAAGGCGGCCUGCUGGACCGCGACUGCCGUUGAGGCUCGAAAGCGUGGGGAGCGAACAGGAUUAGAUACCCCAGUAGUC
Molecule: ribosomal RNA, 441 nt
Filed under: uncultured bacterium
Lineage: Bacteria
Description: partial 16S ribosomal RNA
Rfam family: Bacterial small subunit ribosomal RNA
Source: RNAcentral